RNAcentral lists this ribosomal RNA (253 nucleotides) under uncultured bacterium. RNAcentral's name for it is "partial 16S ribosomal RNA". It matches the Rfam family "Bacterial small subunit ribosomal RNA", at positions 524 to 776 of the family's 1533-position model. The record is from RNAcentral.
UACAGAGGUCUCGAGCGUUGUUCGGAUUUACUGGGCGUAAAGGGAGCGUAGGCGGUUCGGUGUGUUGAAUGUGAAAUCCCACAACUCAACUGUGGAAUGGCAUUCAAAACUACCGGGCUAGAGUACUGGAGAGGAGAGCGGAAUUCUUGGUGUAGCGGUGAAAUGCGUAGAUAUCAAGAGGAACACCGGUGGCGAAGGCGGCUCUCUGGACAGAUACUGACGCUGAGGCUCUAAAGUUAGGGGAGCAAACAGG